UAGGGAAUCUUCCACAGUGGACGCAAGUCUGAUGGAGCAACGCCGCGUGAGUGAAGAAGGUUUUCGGACCGUAAAGCUCUGUUGUUGGUGAAGAAGGAUAGAGGUAGUAACUGGCCUUUAUUUGACGGUAAUCAACCAGAAAGUCACGGCUAACUACGUGCCAGCAGCCGCGGUAAUACGUAGGUGGCAAGCGUUGUCCGGAUUUAUUGGGCGUAAAGCGAGCGCAGGCGGAAGAAUAAGUCUGAUGUGAAAGCCCUCGGCUUAACCGAGGAAUUGCAUCGGAAACUGUUUUUCUUGAGUGCAGAAGAGGAGAGUAGAACUCCAUGUGUAGCGGUGGAAUGCGUAGAUAUAUGGAAGAAUACCAGUGGCGAAGGCGGCUCUCUGGUCUGCAACUGACGCUGAGGCUCGAAAGCAUGGGUAGCGAACAGGAUUAGAUACCCUGGUAGUCCAUGCCGUAAACGAUGAGUGCUAAGUGUUGGGAGGCUUCCGCCUCUCAGUGCUGCAGCUAACGCAUUAAGCACUCCGCCUGGGGGAGUACGACCGCAAGGUUGAAAC
Molecule: ribosomal RNA, 555 nt
Filed under: uncultured bacterium
Lineage: Bacteria
Description: partial 16S ribosomal RNA
Rfam family: Bacterial small subunit ribosomal RNA
Source: RNAcentral